Balaenoptera ricei (Rice's whale) is the source of this 2158-nucleotide long non-coding RNA. RefSeq lists it as uncharacterized. The transcript is spliced from 9 exons. The record is from RefSeq and is a predicted model, not a curated record. Lineage: Eukaryota; Metazoa; Chordata; Mammalia; Artiodactyla; Balaenopteridae.
CGUGCACCGGGAUAGCUGGGCGGAAGGUCCAGGGGCCUGAAGGACCGGGGGCGGCGUGUCUAGGUGCUGCGGCUCCGGGGUGCGCGGACAGCGGCUUGGGCUCGAAGACGGCUUUACAGCCCGGCCGAAUCCCCGAACCCGCGGCACGAUGAGGAAACUAGUGCAGCCUUAAACAGUUCCUUGAGAGCAAAGAGCAAGUUUCCGUUUCCUCAUCAAAUCCACGGCGUCGUCGGGCAUAGUAGGUACUGAAUUUUUGUUGAAAACAGUGAAGUGGUAAACCCAGAAAAACUAUGUGUGGCCCAAAGGCCAAGGUCCCCUCGAAAUACUUAUCUCUGAGAAUUUUCAGACUUCUACGCAUAAACCGAAGAGGAGGAAAGCUACACAAACCACUGCGACUCGAAGUGUGGUCUGUGCACCAGCAGCGCCAGCGGCCCCUGGAAGCUUGUUAGAGACGUCGUUUCUCGGUGUGUUCUCAGAGCUACUGAUCAGUACUGACUGCAGGCACGGAGCCCAGCAGCCGUGCUUAACAGUCUCUCCAGAUGCUGUUCAAGAGCCCCCUGGAGGACCCCACAGCCCACGGCAUGUAGACUGACUCUUUGUGGCCACACUGGCGCCGCCUGCGUCUUCACCAGCGCUCCCACACCUGUCCUCCCACCUGGAGACCUGUCCCUGCGAAUUGCUCUUCCCAACCGUCCGCCCUGUGUUCUGUGUGGCCUCCGUGCUCCUGUGCCCGCUGGUCUCUGCCCGUGAAGCCUUCCCUCCUUCAAGGGCCGCUCACGGGAAGCCUCCCCGCCCUCCGUGCGGGCAGUCACUGUGAAUCCCUCUGCAUCUCCUGUGUGCCUCCACCGGGCCUCGCUCGGGUCGUAAGGUCCGUGGCCCACCUGCAUUUUACCUCUUCCGAAAUCACUGCCGUUGGAAAACCCAUUUUGAUAUCCUUUGAAAGAGCAUUUAUUUAUUGAAUGCUAACUCUGUUCUAGGUCUCAGUGGCCCCCUGAGGCAGGUGUUAUGCCUUUUCUUAGAGGGGCCCCAGUUUUGCAGUCCCGAUGCUGAAGAAGUCUACCAGUGACCAUGGUUUGAAGUUAGCGAACACAGGCAGGCGGGGGACGCGCGCGGGGAGAGGCAGAUGGGAUCACGCACGCGCACGCACGCGCACGCACGCACACUCGCACGCAUGCGCACGCACCCUGCGUACCUGCACAGGUGUGGAGCCGCAAAGUGGUCCAGUGGGAAGGAUACGUACGAGCGAAUCAAGACACCAGCGAUCGGCUCUCACCUCUGCGACGUGGAUUGUGCUUCUCAUCUGACCAUCGGAAGAGUUCGUCUCCCAGGUCCCCUCUGCCUGAUUCCACAUUUUACGCACCUUGGCAGGGAGUGAGCAAAGCUCUCCAAGAACAGAACUCCCAGUGUCAGGACCGCCUGGUAGGUGCGGGUGAGGAAACCGGGGCUGCCGUCCAACAGAAACGCCAGUUUGCUGUGCUGUACCCUGAUGAAGGCUGCAAUUGUGAUUUUCUGUAAAACAACAGAGAAGCUGCAGUACCUGGGCAGCCCAAGCCACAUGACCCACGACGGGGACCAGCUGGCAUCGUACUCAUUCUCGCUGACGGUGCUGGGCUGCUCAUCUGGGCCGUGGGCGGCCUCCUCCACAACCUGCACCUCCAGUGCUGUCAGGGCCACCGUGGGCGACGUGGCGCUGGCCUUCAGCAUAGCCACAGCCUCACUGUGACUUAAACUGGUCAAAUCGAUGCCAUUGAUAUUCAACAAGAUGUCACCUGUUCAAAUAAGGGAGCAAGAAAACUGAGCCACCAAGUGAUUACUUCCCUGGAAAUCCUGUUAUCUGUAAACUAAUCAACAAAGACUUCUCACUUCAGAAAGUCCACUCGAGGGCUUCCCUGGUGGCGCAGUGGUUGAGAGUCUGCCUGCCGAUGCAGGGGACACGGGUUCGAGCCCUGGUCUGGGAAGAUCCCACAUGCCGUGGAGCGACUAGGCCCGUGAGCCACAACUGCUGAGCCUGCGCGUCUGGAGCCUGUGCUCCGCAACGAGAGAGGCCGCGACAGUGAGAGGCCCGCGCACCGCGAUGAGGAGUGGCCCCCGCUCGCCGCAACUGGAGAAAGCCCUCGCACAGAAACGAAGACCCAAUGCAGCCAUAAAUAAAUAAAUA